Molecule: ribosomal RNA, 425 nt
Filed under: uncultured bacterium
Lineage: Bacteria
Description: partial 16S ribosomal RNA
Rfam family: Bacterial small subunit ribosomal RNA
Source: RNAcentral
GUAGGGAAUCUUGCGCAAUGGGCGAAAGCCUGACGCAGCCAUGCCGCGUGAAUGAUGAAGGUCUUAGGAUUGUAAAAUUCUUUCACCGGGGACGAUAAUGACGGUACCCGGAGAAGAAGCCCCGGCUAACUUCGUGCCAGCAGCCGCGGUAAUACGAAGGGGGCUAGCGUUGCUCGGAAUUACUGGGCGUAAAGGGAGCGUAGGCGGAUAGUUUAGUCAGAGGUGAAAGCCCAGGGCUCAACCUUGGAAUUGCCUUUGAUACUGGCUGUCUUGAGUACGGGAGAGGUGAGUGGAACUCCGAGUGUAGAGGUGAAAUUCGUAGAUAUUCGGAAGAACACCAGUGGCGAAGGCGACUCACUGGCCCGUUACUGACGCUGAGGCGCGAAAGCGUGGGGAGCAAACAGGAUUAGAUACCCGUGUAGUCC